UCCGGGGGGGGCAAGCGUUGUUCGGAAUUACUGGGCGUAAAGGGCGCGUAGGCGGUCCGCUAAGUUGGAUGUGAAAACUCUGGGCUUAACCCAGAGCCUGCAUUCAAAACUGACGGACUAGAGUUCUGGAGGGGGUAGCGGAAUUCCUGGUGUAGCGGUGAAAUGCGUAGAGAUCGGAAGGAACACCAGUGGCGAAGGCGGCCACCUGGACAGAUACUGACGCUGAGGCGCGAGAGCGUGGGGAGCAAACAGG
RNAcentral lists this ribosomal RNA (253 nucleotides) under uncultured bacterium. RNAcentral's name for it is "partial 16S ribosomal RNA". It matches the Rfam family "Bacterial small subunit ribosomal RNA", at positions 524 to 776 of the family's 1533-position model. The record is from RNAcentral.